AGAUAAACCAGUGACAUGGUUGUCGUUUUCAUAGGGACAUCAACAGUUCAAAUGAAAAGAAAAAUCUAAACUGUUAGUUAACAGAGCCAAACCCCCUUUUGAUAAAAAAAAAAAGAUAUUGCGGAGACAGGAUUUGAACUUGUGACCUCAUCCCCAAAUGAAAAUGCAAAAUGACAAUGAAUCUGUAACUGAAAUCAGAACCGGCAAAAAGUAGGCUUGCACAUCAGCCAAAAGCAUGAAUUCUUGCCUGUUUUUCCUCACCCCCAGCAACAAAAUCAUGACCAGAAAGCAAGAAUAUCUCUCUUAAAUUUGAAUCGAAAUUGUUGGUAACACAAAACAUUGAUGAUAAAGAAAUGACAAAGAUAAAAUGGCUGGAUUUGGUGUUAUUUGGGGCAGUUCUGGUUGCUGUUUCUUCAAGUGAAGUAGGCAUGGCAGAUCCACAGUUUAGUGCAAUGUUUGUAUUUGGUGAUUCGUUAAUCGAUCCAGGAAAUAACAACUACUUGAAUUCCUUAGCAAAAGCCAAUUAUGUACCUUAUGGGGUGGAUUUCAGUGAAGGGCCUUCUGGUAGAUUCUCCAAUGGAAAAACAAUAAUAGACUACUUAGGUAACUAUGAUUUUUUACUUUGUUAAUUGCUAAUAUUAUUAGCCUUCAGUUAUGUGUUUUCCAAAUGCUACAUUAAAACUUAUUUCUCUUGAGAUCAAGAAAAGGCCGAAUCUUCUAAUGCUAAGUUAAAACUUAUUUAUCUUUGAGUUCGAAGAAAAGGCCAAAUUUUUUUUGAGUUCAUCAACUAUCUCUACACCUGAAUCAAAUUGUUCUAGUUAUCUAGAACAAUGAGGAGAUUCUAUAGAAGAAAUACAGGGUCUGCUUUGAUGACUGUGUGAUUUACUUGUGAAUUUGUAGGAGACUUGUUGGAAAUUCCCGCUUUACCAGCUU
This 933-nucleotide long non-coding RNA is filed under the name Olea europaea subsp. europaea. Lineage: Eukaryota; Viridiplantae; Streptophyta; Magnoliopsida; Lamiales; Oleaceae. The record is from RNAcentral.